GUGAAUCAUCAAAUUUUUGAACGCAAAUUGCACUCUCCGGUUUUCCGGGGGAUUAUGCCUGUUUGGGCGUCUAUUUAAAAAAUAAUCGAGUCUUCCGCUGUGGUGGCGCUUCGGAAUUGGGUCAUCUUACACCUUUCGGGUUUGUAAGCGACCUAAAAUUUUUCUUACGAUUUUUAAGAACUUGACUAAGAAUUUUUCUUGUACUUUCUCGACAG
This 215-nucleotide unclassified non-coding RNA is filed under the name Glomeraceae sp. RNAcentral describes it as "partial internal transcribed spacer 2". The stretch from base 1 to 72 matches the Rfam family "5.8S ribosomal RNA", at positions 84 to 154 of the family's 154-position model. The record is from RNAcentral. Lineage: Eukaryota; Fungi; Glomeromycota; Glomeromycetes; Glomerales; Glomeraceae.